AGAUUGAACGCUAGCGGGAUGCUUUACACAUGCAAGUCGAACGGCAGCGCGGACUUCGGUCUGGCGGCGAGUGGCGAACGGGUGAGUAAUAUAUCGGAACGUGCCCAGUAGCGGGGGAUAACUACGCGAAAGCGUGGCUAAUACCGCAUACGCCCUACGGGGGAAAGGGGGGGAUCGCAAGACCUCUCACUAUUGGAGCGGCCGAUAUCAGAUUAGCUAGUUGUGAGUAAAGGCUCACCAAGGCGACGAUCUGUAGCUGGUUUGAGAGGACGACCAGCCACACUGGGACUGAGACACGGCCCAGACUCCUACGGGAGCAGCAGUGGGAAUUUGGACAAUGGGGGAAACCUGGAUCCAGCCAAUCCCGCGUCGUGCGACGUGAACGGCCUUCGGGUUGUUAAGCUACUUUGGUCAGGUAAGAAACGGACGUGCCCGUAAUACGGACGUCUACGUGACGUACUCGAC
Molecule: ribosomal RNA, 465 nt
Filed under: uncultured soil bacterium
Lineage: Bacteria
Description: bacterial SSU rRNA
Rfam family: Bacterial small subunit ribosomal RNA
Source: RNAcentral